This is a long non-coding RNA of Thalassophryne amazonica, 132 nucleotides long. RefSeq lists it as uncharacterized. Lineage: Eukaryota; Metazoa; Chordata; Actinopteri; Batrachoidiformes; Batrachoididae. The record is from RefSeq and is a predicted model, not a curated record. The transcript has 5 exons.
CGGGGCCCGUUUUGAAGCAUCAUAGUCACUUCUUGAUCCAUCUUUGUCAGUCUUGAACAAACUUGGUAUACAUAGCAGUUACAGCCAUCAUUGGCAUCAGGUUUAAAAUUGGGACCAAAUUUUUAAAAUGUU